UGCAGGCAACAGCUCAGUUGGCAGAGCACGAGAUGCUUAAUUUCGGGGUUGUGAGUUCGAGCUUUACGUUGGGCAA
Molecule: non-coding RNA, 76 nt
Organism: Podarcis lilfordi (Lilford's wall lizard)
Lineage: Eukaryota; Metazoa; Chordata; Lepidosauria; Squamata; Lacertidae
Source: the annotation of a GenBank genome assembly